RNAcentral lists this non-coding RNA (353 nucleotides) under Beta vulgaris subsp. vulgaris (sugar beet). RNAcentral describes it as "Bacterial large subunit ribosomal RNA". It matches the Rfam family "Bacterial large subunit ribosomal RNA", at positions 944 to 1290 of the family's 2925-position model. The record is from Rfam by way of RNAcentral. Lineage: Eukaryota; Viridiplantae; Streptophyta; Magnoliopsida; Caryophyllales; Amaranthaceae.
CACUUUGUAACCAAUUCAUAUAGAUCGUUUGUACAGAGAGACUUUUUGGGUGCUAAGAUCCAAAGUCGAGAUGGAAACAACCCAGACCAUACGCUAAGGUCCCUAAGCAAUCACUUAAAGGAAAAGGAAGUGAUCGAGCGAUGACAACCAGGAGGUGGGAUCGGAAGCAACCAUCCUUUGAAGAAAGCGUAAUAGCUCACUGGUCUAGCUCCAUGGCACCGAAAAUGUAGUAGGGCUCAAGUGAUUCAUCGAAGCGACGAGACCUUGAAAGCUGCUUUUUCAAGUGUCAGUAGCGGGACGUUAUGUCAACCGGGGAAAGUUUUUGGUGACAACACAUGGAGAUAUCAGAACUA